AAGAAAUUAGUUUAAAAAAAACAUUAAUGUGUCAAAUUAAAAUUACUUUAUAAGUACUUCUUU
This 63-nucleotide transfer RNA is filed under the name Cemus sauteri. RNAcentral describes it as "tRNA-Asp". Lineage: Eukaryota; Metazoa; Arthropoda; Insecta; Hemiptera; Delphacidae. The record is from RNAcentral.